AAUUGGAGGGCAAGUCUGGUGCCAGCAGCCGCGGUAAUUCCAGCUCCAAUAGCGUAUAUUAAAGUUGUUGCAGUUAAAAAGCUCGUAGUUGAAUUUCGGGAUUGACACAUCGGUCGUGCCUUAAGGGGUAUGAACUGGUGUAGUCAAUUUCUCACCUUCUGGAGAACCGCGAUGCCCUUAAUUGGGUGUCACGGGGAACCAGGACCUUUACUUUGAAAAAAUUAGAGUGUUUAAAGCAGGCAUUUUGCUUGAAUACAUUAGCAUGGAAUAAUAAAAUAGGACGGCAUGAUUCUAUUUUGUUGGUUUCUAGGAUCACCGUAAUGAUUAAUAGGGAUAGUUGGGGGCAUUAGUAUUCAAUUGUCAGAGGUGAAAUUCUUGGAUUUAUUGAAGACUAACUACUGCGAAAGCAUUUGCCAAGGAUGUUUUCAUUAAUCAAGAACGAAGGUUAGGGGAUCGAAGACGAUCAGAUACCGUCGUAGUCUUAACCAUAAACUAUGCCGACUAGGAAUCAGACGAUGUUAAUUUUUUAAUGACUCGUUUGGCACCUUACGGGAAACCAAAGUGU
This 565-nucleotide ribosomal RNA is filed under the name uncultured Glomus. Its description in RNAcentral is "SSU rRNA". It matches the Rfam family "Eukaryotic small subunit ribosomal RNA", at positions 546 to 1106 of the family's 1831-position model. Lineage: Eukaryota; Fungi; Glomeromycota; Glomeromycetes; Glomerales; Glomeraceae. The record is from RNAcentral.